Molecule: ribosomal RNA, 301 nt
Filed under: uncultured bacterium
Lineage: Bacteria
Description: partial 16S ribosomal RNA
Rfam family: Bacterial small subunit ribosomal RNA
Source: RNAcentral
CAGCAGCCGCGGUAAUACGAAGGGGGCUAGCGUUGUUCGGAUUUACUGGGCGUAAAGGGUGCGUAGGCGGAUUGUUAAGUCAGGGGUGAAAUCCCGAGGCUCAACCUCGGAACUGCCUUUGAUACUGGCGAUCUUGAGUCCGGGAGAGGUGAGUGGAACUGCGAGUGUAGAGGUGAAAUUCGUAGAUAUUCGCAAGAACACCGGUGGCGAAGGCGGCUCACUGGCCCGGUACUGACGCUGAGGCACGAAAGCGUGGGGAGCAAACAGGAUUAGAUACCCCUGUAGUCCCUGUCUCUUAUAC